GGAGAAAUCUAAACGGCCGCGGAAUUUUAACCGUGCUAAGGUAGCAUAAUCAUUUGUUCUUUAAUUAAGGACUUGUAUGAAUGGUUAAACGAAAUAAAGCUAUCUAUAAAGUAUUAAAUAAAAAUUAUUUUUAAAGUGAAAAAUCUUUAAUACAGUAAAAAGACAAAAAGACCCUAUAGAGUUUUAUUCAUCACUAUAAAUAAAUAUAAAUGAAUUUAGUUGGGGCAACUAAUGAAAAAAGAAAUUUCUUUUUAUUAGCUAAAAAUAUAAUCAUUAAUUUAAUAAUAUAAAAUAAAUUACCUUAGGGAUAACAGCGUAACUUUUUUUGAGAGUCCAAAUCGAAAAAAAAAAUUAC
Molecule: ribosomal RNA, 355 nt
Filed under: Dondersiidae sp. 4-SB FSB-2019
Lineage: Eukaryota; Metazoa; Mollusca; Solenogastres; Pholidoskepia; Dondersiidae
Description: partial large subunit ribosomal RNA
Source: RNAcentral